RNAcentral lists this ribosomal RNA (274 nucleotides) under uncultured bacterium. RNAcentral describes it as "partial 16S ribosomal RNA". It matches the Rfam family "Bacterial small subunit ribosomal RNA", at positions 523 to 796 of the family's 1533-position model. The record is from RNAcentral.
AUACAGGGGGUGCGAGCGUUAAUCGGAAUUACUGGGCGUAAAGAGUACGUAGGCGGUUGCUUAAGUCAGAUGUGAAAGCCCCGGGCUCAACCUGGGAACUGCGUUUGAAACUGAGUGACUAGAGUUUAAGAGAGGGGAGUAGAAUUCCGGGUGUAGCGGUGAAAUGCGUAGAGAUCCGGAGGAAUACCAGUGGCGAAGGCGGCUCCCUGGCUUAAAACUGACGCUGAGGUACGAAAGCGUGGGUAGCAAACAGGAUUAGAUACCCCAGUAGUCC